This 495-nucleotide ribosomal RNA is filed under the name uncultured bacterium. RNAcentral's name for it is "partial 16S ribosomal RNA". It matches the Rfam family "Bacterial small subunit ribosomal RNA", at positions 30 to 507 of the family's 1533-position model. The record is from RNAcentral.
UGAACGCUGGCGGCGUGCCUAAUACAUGCAAGUCGAGCGAACAGAUGAGGAGCUUGCUCCUCUGACGUUAGCGGCGGACGGGUGAGUAACACGUGGAUAACCUACCUAUAAGACUGGGAUAACUUCGGGAAACCGGAGCUAAUACCGGAUAAUAUAUUGAACCGCAUGGUUCAAUAGUGAAAGACGGUUUUGCUGUCACUUAUAGAUGGAUCCGCGCCGCAUUAGCUAGUUGGUAAGGUAACGGCUUACCAAGGCAACGAUGCGUAGCCGACCUGAGAGGGUGAUCGGCCACAUUGGAACUGAGACACGGUCCAGACUCCUACGGGAGGCAGCAGUAGGGAAUCUUCCGCAAUGGGCGAAAGCCUGACGGAGCAACGCCGCGUGAGUGAUGAAGGUCUUCGGAUCGUAAAACUCUGUUAUUAGGGAAGAACAAAUGUGUAAGUAACUAUGCACGUCUUGACGGUACCUAAUCAGAAAGCCACGGCUAACUACGUG